GGACGCGUGGCGCAAUGGAUAACGCGUCGGUCUACGAAACCGAAGAUUGCAGGUUGGAAUCCUGCCGUGUUCG
Molecule: transfer RNA, 73 nt
Filed under: Enterobius vermicularis (human pinworm)
Lineage: Eukaryota; Metazoa; Nematoda; Chromadorea; Rhabditida; Oxyuridae
Rfam family: tRNA
About the family: Transfer RNA (tRNA) molecules are approximately 80 nucleotides in length. Their secondary structure includes four short double-helical elements and three loops (D, anti-codon, and T loops).
Source: Rfam by way of RNAcentral